GACGAACGCUGGCGGCGUGCUUAACACAUGCAAGUCGAACGGAAAGGCCCUGCUUUUGUGGGGUGCUCGAGUGGCGAACGGGUGAGUAAAACGUGAGUAACCUGCCCUUGACUUUGGGAUAACUUUAGGAAACUGGGGCUAAUACCGGAUAGGAGCUCCUGCUGCAUGGUGGGGGGUGGAAAGUUUCGGCGGUUGGGGAUGGACUCGCGGCUUAUCAGCUUGUUGGUGGGGUAGUGGCUUACCAAGGCUUUGACGGGUAGCCGGCCUGAGAGGGUGACCGGCCACAUUGGGACUGAGAUACGGCCCAGACUCCUACGGGAGGCAGCAGUGGGGAAUAUUGCACAAUGGGCGGAAGCCUGAUGCAGCAACGCCGCGUGCGGGAUGACGGCCUUCGGGUUGUAAACCGCUUUCGCCUGUGACGAAGCGUGAGUGACGGUAAUGGGUAAAGAAGCACCGGCUAACUACGUG
RNAcentral lists this ribosomal RNA (468 nucleotides) under uncultured bacterium. RNAcentral describes it as "partial 16S ribosomal RNA". It matches the Rfam family "Bacterial small subunit ribosomal RNA", at positions 28 to 507 of the family's 1533-position model. The record is from RNAcentral.